This is a non-coding RNA of Psilocybe cubensis, 85 nucleotides long. Lineage: Eukaryota; Fungi; Basidiomycota; Agaricomycetes; Agaricales; Agrocybaceae. The record is from the annotation of a RefSeq genome assembly.
GGUGGAUUGGCGUAAUGGCAACGCGUCAGUUUCCGGUCGCUCGCCUGGUAGCUGAAGAUUGCGAGUUCGAAUCUCGCAUUCAUCG